RNAcentral lists this ribosomal RNA (687 nucleotides) under uncultured bacterium. RNAcentral's name for it is "bacterial SSU rRNA". It matches the Rfam family "Bacterial small subunit ribosomal RNA", at positions 28 to 759 of the family's 1533-position model. The record is from RNAcentral.
AGCGAACGCUGGCGGCAGGCUUAACACAUGCAAGUCGAGCGGGCGUAGCAAUACGUCAGCGGCAGACGGGUGAGUAACGCGUGGGAACAUACCUUUUGGUUCGGAACAACACAGGGAAACUUGUGCUAAUACCGGAUAAGCCCUUACGGGGAAAGAUUUAUCGCCGAAAGAUUGGCCCGCGUCUGAUUAGCUAGUUGGUGAGGUAACGGCUCACCAAGGCGACGAUCAGUAGCUGGUCUGAGAGGAUGAUCAGCCACAUUGGGACUGAGACACGGCCCAAACUCCUACGGGAGGCAGCAGUGGGGAAUAUUGGACAAUGGGCGAAAGCCUGAUCCAGCCAUGCCGCGUGAGUGAUGAAGGCCCUAGGGUUGUAAAGCUCUUUUGUGCGGGAAGAUAAUGACGGUACCGCAAGAAUAAGCCCCGGCUAACUUCGUGCCAGCAGCCGCGGUAAUACGAAGGGGGCUAGCGUUGCUCGGAAUCACUGGGCGUAAAGGGUGCGUAGGCGGGUCUUUAAGUCAGGGGUGAAAUCCUGGAGCUCAACUCCAGAACUGCCUUUGAUACUGAGGAUCUUGAGUUCGGGAGAGGUGAGUGGAACUGCGAGUGUAGAGGUGAAAUUCGUAGAUAUUCGCAAGAACACCAGUGGCGAAGGCGGCUCACUGGCCCGAUACUGACGCUGAGGCACGAAAG